CAAAGUCGCUCAGAGGGCGGUGACAAAGCAAACUUACAUCUGCGACUCCUUGCUUUCCCCCAAGGCUGUGCUCUGUGAAGCUCGGGCCCUGCAGGAUUUGCCUGGCUCUCAUUGAAACAUAAUAGGAUACAGUGGCCUUCUGAGAAGCUCAGCUGAUUACCUCAUGAAAAUAGAAGUUGGAGAAGUUGAGAUGUUGGAUACAAAAGGCAACAAAUUACAUCACAAAAUGAUUCUGGAAUCCGUACAACUGACUACUCUCCUGCACAUGGGCAAAUCCUUUUUCCUCUCAACCAAUCAAGUUAAUCCUACUUCCCAGGCCAGUGACUAGUUUACAAACGGGCAGAUGGCAUAAUUCUAACCAAUGAGACACAAUGUCCCAGGGUGGUCGUGGUGCUCAGAAAAGAUGUGCAUUGGAAGAAAGUUAUUUCUGUUCUUCUUCUAAUGAGGCUGUUUCUACAUGUACACCUCCUGUAAUAGCCCAGCCAUCUUGGCACUGUGAAGGGAGCUGGAAGAAAGAUGGAAACAACAGUGACAAUGUUGAGUUGAAGAAUUAAUGAAGUCUAAAGUUUCUACCUCUGGACUCAUUAUAGGAAAUAAAUUUUCCUUAUUGUUUAAGCCA
Molecule: long non-coding RNA, 619 nt
Organism: Leopardus geoffroyi (Geoffroy's cat)
Lineage: Eukaryota; Metazoa; Chordata; Mammalia; Carnivora; Felidae
Exons: 3
Source: RefSeq, a predicted model, not a curated record